AGAGUUUGAUCCUGGCUCAGGACGAACGCUGGCGGCGUGCUUAACACAUGCAAGUCGAGCGGUAAGGCCCUUCGGGGUACACGAGCGGCGAACGGGUGAGUAACACGUGGGUGACCUGCCCCCAACUCUGGGAUAAGCCCGGGAAACUGGGUCUAAUACCGGAUAUGACCACAUGUCGCAUGGUGUGUGGUGGAAAGUUUUUCGGUUGGGGAUGGGCCCGCGGCCUAUCAGCUUGUUGGUGGGGUGAUGGCCUACCAAGGCGACGACGGGUAGCCGGCCUGAGAGGGCGACCGGCCACACUGGGACUGAGACACGGCCCAGACUCCUACGGGAGGCAGCAGUGGAGAAUAUUGCGCAAUGGGCGAAAGCCUGACGCAGCGACGCCGCGUGGGGGAUGACGGCCUUCGGAUUGUAAACCUCUUUCGCCAGGGACGAAGCGCAAGUGACGGUACCUGGAUAAGAAGCACCGGCCAACUACGUGCCAGCAGCCGCGGUAAUACGUAGGGUGCGAGCGUUGUCCGGAAUUAUUGGGCGUAAAGAGCUCGUAGGCGGUCUGUCGCGUCGGUCGUGAAAACUUGGGGCUUAACCCUGAGCUUGCGGUCGAUACGGGCAUGACUGGAGUUCGGCAGGGGAGACUGGAAUUCCUGGUGUAGCGGUGAAAUGCGCAGAUAUCAGGAGGAACACCGGUGGCGAAGGCGGGUCUCUGGGCCGAUACUGACGCUGAGGAGCGAAAGCGUGGGGAGCGAACAGGAUUAGAUACCCUAGUAGUCC
This 771-nucleotide ribosomal RNA is filed under the name uncultured bacterium. Its description in RNAcentral is "bacterial SSU rRNA". It matches the Rfam family "Bacterial small subunit ribosomal RNA", at positions 8 to 796 of the family's 1533-position model. The record is from RNAcentral.